GGGAACGUGGUGUAACGGCAGCACCCGAUACUUUGACUCUCGUAGUCCUCGUUCGAAUCGAUGCGUCCCUGCCA
RNAcentral lists this transfer RNA (74 nucleotides) under Burkholderiales bacterium. RNAcentral's name for it is "tRNA-Gln". It matches the Rfam family "tRNA". Rfam says of the family: Transfer RNA (tRNA) molecules are approximately 80 nucleotides in length. Their secondary structure includes four short double-helical elements and three loops (D, anti-codon, and T loops). Lineage: Bacteria; Pseudomonadati; Pseudomonadota; Betaproteobacteria; Burkholderiales. The record is from RNAcentral.